GAUGAACGCUGGCGGCGUGCCUAAUACAUGCAAGUCGAGCGAAUGGAUUAAGAGCUUGCUCUUAUGAAGUUAGCGGCGGACGGGUGAGAAACACGUGGGUAACCUGCCCAUAAGACUGGGAUAACUCCGGGAAACCGGGGCUAAUACCGGAUAACAUUUUGAACCGCAUGGUUCGAAAUUGAAAGGCGGCUUCGGCUGUCACUUAUGGAUGGACCCGCGUCGCAUUAGCUAGUUGGUGUGGUAACGGCUCACCAAGGCAACGAUGCGGAGCCGACCUGGGAGGGUGAUCGGCCACACUGGGACUGAGACACGGCCCAGACUCCUACGGGAGGCAGCAGUAGGGAAUCUUCCGCAAUGGACGAAAGUCUGACGGAGCAACGCCGCGUGAGUGAUGAAGGCUUUCGGGUCGUAAAACUCUGUUGUUAGGGAAGAACAAGUGCUAGUUGAAUAAGCUGGCACCUUGACGGUACCUAACCAGAAAGCCACGGCUAACUACGUGCCAGCCGCCGCUGUAA
RNAcentral lists this ribosomal RNA (515 nucleotides) under uncultured bacterium. Its description in RNAcentral is "partial 16S ribosomal RNA". It matches the Rfam family "Bacterial small subunit ribosomal RNA", at positions 28 to 523 of the family's 1533-position model. The record is from RNAcentral.